AGAGGAAGUAAAAGUCGUAACAAGGUUUCCGUAGGUGAACCUGCGGAAGGAUCAUUACUGAGAGAGGGACCUCGCGUCCCUCGGGGGGCUUCGGCCCUCCAUCUCUUCAACCCGUGCCUAUAACCCUCUGUUGCUUUGGCGAGCGCCGGGGCGCCCCCCGCCCCGGCCCUGACCCUCGGGUCGGUGCGUUCUCGCCGGAGCCCCCUAAGCAUUCUGUUUGUUCAGUGACGUCCGAGUAUUACCAAAAUAUAAAUCAAAACUUUCAACAACGGAUCUCUUGGUUCUGGCAUCGAUGAAGAACGCAGCGAAAUGCGAUAAGUAAUGUGAAUUGCAGAAUUCAGUGAAUCAUCGAAUCUUUGAACGCACAUUGCGCCCCUUGGCAUUCCGAGGGGCAUGCCUGUUCGAGCGUCAUUGCAACCCUCAAGCUUCGCUUGGUAUUGAGCCUUUCGCCGGAGACGGCGUGCUCGAAAACUAGUGGCGGUCCAGGGAGACUUCAAGCGCAGUAAAACUUUUCGCUUCGGAGGUUCUCGCCUGUGACCGGCCGUAAACCCCCCAAUCUUUCAACGAUUGACCUCGGAUCAGGUAGGGAUACCCGCUGAACUUAAGCAUAU
This 611-nucleotide ribosomal RNA is filed under the name Caloplaca aquensis. RNAcentral's name for it is "eukaryotic LSU rRNA". The stretch from base 258 to 411 matches the Rfam family "5.8S ribosomal RNA". The record is from RNAcentral. Lineage: Eukaryota; Fungi; Ascomycota; Lecanoromycetes; Teloschistales; Teloschistaceae.